Molecule: RNA transcript, 4316 nt
Organism: Bombyx mori (domestic silkworm)
Lineage: Eukaryota; Metazoa; Arthropoda; Insecta; Lepidoptera; Bombycidae
Exons: 2
Source: RefSeq, a predicted model, not a curated record
AGUUUAUUUGUUUUAUGUCAAUAUAUUUCAUGUCUUUAUGAUGUACAGCCUUACAAUGAUAUUAUGUCGUUUUUAUAUUAUAUAUUAUAAUACAGGGUGGCCCAUAAGUCCUUUGAAAAGUAAAAUUUGAAUAAAACGAACAGGGCGCGCGUGAGCGGUGCAGGGGAAGCGGGGGGAGUAACUUCGGUUUCUGGGAAUUUAGUCGCGAUGGAGCGUUUUACCGGAGCGGACCGUGCGUUUUGUGUGCGCGAGUUUUAUAAAAACGACAAUUCGGCAACCGUUGCGCGGCGUAAAUUACGAGAACACAAAGGUUUACACAACUUUGACGACACUCCAACUCUUCAAACGAUUAAGAACUGGGUUGCUAAGUUCGAGGAGACCGGUUCGACGUUAGAUAAACCGCGGUUGGGUCGCCCAAGGACGUCACGUACGGAACAGUCUAUUCGCGAAAAUCCGACACAGUCAACUCGUAAGCGCGCCAGAGCAUUAAACGUAUCCAGGACAUCGUUACAACGGAUUUUGAAGAAAGAUUUACAUAUGCACCCUUACAAAAUUCAGUUGGUUCAAGAAUUAAAGGAAACUGACGGUAUUCAAAGACAAAAUUAUGCGAAUGAAAUGUUGCAUCGGUUUACUUCCUUCAAUAACAUAAUGUUCUCUGACGAGGCUCAUUUCCAUCUUAACGGGCAUGUUAGUAAACAAAAUUGCCGCUAUUGGAGCCCCAUCAAUCCAAAACUUAAGCAUCAGAAGCCCUUACAUAGUCCGAAAGUGACUGUUUGGGUCGCUAUGUCAGCCCAUGGUAUCCUAGGGCCUUACUUCUUUGAGGAUGGCAGAGGGCGCGCAGUUACUGUUACGUCGGAGCGAUAUGUGGCUAUGAUCGAAGAGUUUUUCAUACCAGAAUUGCAAAACUUUUCAGGCUUUAAUGCCAGGACGUGGUUUCAACAGGAUGGGGCCACUUCUCACACCUCUAACACUGCUAUGCCCGUUAUCCGUCAACUUUUUCCUGGCAAAGUUAUCUCUAAGAGAGGAGACAUUUCCUGGCCUCCACGUAGUCCAGAUCUGACCCCGAUGGAUUUUUUUUUGUGGGGCUACCUUAAGGCUAAAGUAAGUAUACGACACAAACCCGCGGUCAAUUGAGGCCCUCAAGAAAACAUCCGCAGAGAAAUGACAAGCAUUUCAGCAGUGACGUGCCGCGCAGUCAUCGACAAUUUUAGACGUCGUUUGCAAGAGUGCCGUGAUCGCAACGGAUUACAUUUAGGAGAUGUUAUUUUCAAAAAAUAAUUCCCGUUUUUUAAGCUUUUUAUGUAAAUAAAAAUUUAAUUCAUAAUGUAAUUAGUUUUAUUUUAAUAAUUUUUUUUUCAUAUCAAAGGACUUAUGGGCCACCCUGUAGAUCCUUUAAUAUCAACCUUCGACAAAUAAUAUUUUGACCCGUUCUGUUACAGUACCCUCUACAUCGACAUCGAAUCCUAAUCAGACUUCUCCAAAGAGAAGAAGAUUUUCUAGUCCUACACCAUUAGUGUCACCAAGAAAACCUCAAGACAGAGAAGCUGUCCCAGUGACACCUCGGAAGCGAAGACGAAUAAAGAAACUUAAAUCAAGUCGUCUUCUAAUAAAAAACCUCAAAUAGAAAGUUAAUAAAAUAGAUAAAAUAACAUCACCUGUCUUAAAAAGUUUGAUAGAAUCUUCUAUUGCUAACCAAAGUCACGAACCUAAAGGCAAAUGUUGGACUAAAUUAAAUAAAACCGUAGCUUUAGCUAUUUACAAAAAGUCACCUAAAGCGUACAGAUAUUUGUCCCAACUUUUACCAAUGCCUAGUAUCAGAACACUUCAAACAGUAUUAGAAAAUAUGAAAAUGGAUACCGGCAUCGAUUCCAUGAGUAUGCAUCAACUAAAAAAAAGCUGAAAGUUUAUCGGACAAAGAUAAAACUUGUGUUAUUCUUUUUGACGAAAUAGCACUCAAAAAAAGGCUAAUAUAUAAUGUUGCCACGGAUAAAAUAGAUGGUUAUGAGGACCUAGGCGAUGAUAAACGAUCUGAAAAAAUUGCUGAUCACGCAUUAGUUAUCAUGCUUCAAGGGGUUCAUAAAAGUAUGAAACAGCCCAUUGCACACUAUUUCGUUAAGGGCACUAUAGCAACCGAUAAAUUAGCUAUUAUAAUAAAAGAUACAAUUCGAGCUGUAACAGAAGCUGGUUAUGAGGUAAUAGCUACGGUUUGCGAUCAGGGACCAACGAACAUGGGUUCAUUAAAUUUGCUAAAAACUUGGGGAAAUUCUGCGGAACCACAUUAUUUUUUUCUUGAUGGAAAAAAAGUUUUUAUAAUAUAUGACGUGCCACAUCUUUUUAAAUCAAAACGAAAUAAUUUUAUGCAGGGCGGUGAACUGGUAAUGGACAAUAAAAAAGGGAAAUGGGCUCAUUUGAUCAAACUUGAAGAAAGAAAUAGAAUCAGUCUCCAUUUCAAAAAAAUUACUAAAUUACAUGUGAACCCCAGAUUUCGAGCCAAAAUGAGAGUUAAGCUAGCUGCUCAAAUUUUGAGUAAUACUGUUGCAGCUAUACUAAAACUACAAGCUGAUAGUGUUGAAAACCAAGGAGAAAGACCGGAAAUACUUCAAACAGCACACAUAGUCGAAGAACUUGAUCAAUUAUUUGAUUGUACAAAUGGGCCAGCUUCUAAAAGCGAUAUAAAAAGAAAUAUUCGGCAAAAUGUCAGUAAAAAUAGUUUCCAUCAUAGGAGAUGGAUUGAAUUCAAAAGUAAAAUUAAAACCCUUCAUUUCUUAAAAUCGGACAGUCAACUGAGAUUGAGAAACAUUAGAUGUGUAAAUGGAUAUUUAAUCACAUUGUCAUCUCUACAAGAUAUUUGGCACUAUUUACAUUUAGUGAAAAAAUUCAAAUAUAUGAACCUGCGUCAAUUUAACCAGGAUGCAUUGGAAAAUUUAUUCGGCCAAAUACGUCAACAUUGUCCUACUAAUAGAAAUCCAACGUGCCAUCAUUUCACUUGUGCAUUGAAGUCUGCGAUUCUAACACGUCUCAGUGCACCACUAAGCAGAGGGAGCAACUGCCAAAGAGAUAACAAUGAAAUCAUUAUAGACUUUCAGGAAAUUGUUUUUCCAAAUAAAAAAUACCAGCCUGUGAAACAGACAGAGAGCGCAGCUAGUGAAGAUUACGACAACAAAAUCGAUGAUUUUCAAGAUGUUCCUGUUUUGCACUUAGCUGAUAAUAUUGAGCAACAAAAUUACUUGGCAGAUAUAGAAGAAAGCGGCUAUUUAGCUUCUGUGCUUCUGAAAGGUGUGGACUGUCUAAAAUGUAUAGUUGCCAUGAAGGUUUCCAACCCGCAACCAAAUACAAUAUAUAAUUAUAUUGCUUUGCGAGAGUGGUGGACAGACAAAACCUCAUUAACAUACCCUAGUCUUCAGUUAUGUCAGGCAAUAGACGAUGCGACAAGUAUUUUUGAUGAAAAGGUGAAAUCAAACAUCUUCGCAAAAAAUAUAUGCAGCUACUCUAAAAUAGAAAUACUUGCAAAUAUUGAUUUGUCGUGGAUCUGUGAAGAACACAAAAAUGUAAUGAUAGAAAAAUUAUUGCAACGCGUAAGCCUACUUUUAAUAAGAAAUCACUGUAACUUAAUAAAUCAGUCAUUUGCGCUCAGUGAAGAGGCCUCUGCAGAUGCGAUAAAGAAGGCGCAACAACAAGGCGUUGCAAAAUAAAUAUAAUUAAUACAGUUUUGCUUAUGUAAAAUAUAUCCCUAAGUCUUGCGUGUCUGAACUAGGUUAUCCUGCGUUUCAAAUGAAUGUAUCAUCAUCUGCCUAGCCAUUUCCCAACUACGGUGGGGCCGGCUGCCAGUCUUAACGGGAUGCAGUUGAAUACUAGUAUUUGUAGUAAUUCAAAUGUCAAUGUAUACGCUUUUAUAAUAAACUUUCAAACCACGUUCAAGAUCUAAGCCCUAAUAAAUUCAAAUCAUACAUUAAGCGUAAGUUGUACCAGAAAGCUUAUUACAGUUAAUGAUUGUAUUGUGGAUAAGAAGGCUUGGGGCUACGCUGCUCUAAUUUUGAUUUACAUACUUAUUUUUUAUUUUAUUUUAUAGUCUUCAUAUGAUCUGACCAAGAUUAUUACUGGACUUCUAAAGAUAUUGUGACUUCUAAGUUUGACAGAGUUCUUUCUUCUCAGUGUAGUCAGAUAGGAAACGCCGACUACAUCUAGUUCUAAAAAAAUAUUAUUGACGCGUAAUUGUUUGUAAAACCUAUCUAAAAAAAUAAAAUUAUUAAUAACAUGGGUAAUUGUUUAAUUCCUUGUAAAUAAAUAAGUUUUAAAACAAUCUGAGUUUAAAUAAA